Amphimedon queenslandica is the source of this 126-nucleotide long non-coding RNA. RefSeq lists it as uncharacterized. The record is from RefSeq and is a predicted model, not a curated record. Lineage: Eukaryota; Metazoa; Porifera; Demospongiae; Haplosclerida; Niphatidae. The transcript has 3 exons.
GAAAGAGAGUACUGGACACAAGAGAAAUGCACCAGAGUUACUCAUGCGCAAAGAGAGGGUCAGAAAGAUAGUGCAGUACAAAAGAGAAGUGCACCAGUUACUCGUACAGAAGGAGAGGGUCAGAAA